This 253-nucleotide ribosomal RNA is filed under the name uncultured bacterium. RNAcentral describes it as "partial 16S ribosomal RNA". It matches the Rfam family "Bacterial small subunit ribosomal RNA", at positions 524 to 776 of the family's 1533-position model. The record is from RNAcentral.
UACGUAGGGACCAAGCGUUGUUCGGAAUUACUGGGCGUAAAGCGUGCGCAGGCGGCUUUGCAAGACAGAUGUGAAAUCCCCGGGCUUAACCUGGGAACUGCAUUUGUGACUGCAUGGCUGGAGUGCGGCAGAGGGGGAUGGAAUUCCGCGUGUAGCAGUGAAAUGCGUAGAUAUGCGGAGGAACACCGAUGGCGAAGGCAAUCCCCUGGGCCUGCACUGACGCUCAUGCACGAAAGCGUGGGGAGCAAACAGG